CACUCCUACGGGAGGCAGCAGUGGGGAAUAUUGGACAAUGGGCGCAAGCCUGAUCCAGCCAUGCCGCGUGAGUGAUGAAGGCCCUAGGGUUGUAAAGCUCUUUCACCGGUGAAGAUAAUGACGGUAACCGGAGAAGAAGCCCCGGCUAACUUCGUGCCAGCAGCCGCGGUAAUACGAAGGGGGCUAGCGUUGUUCGGAUUUACUGGGCGUAAAGCGCACGUAGGCGGACUAUUAAGUCAGGGGUGAAAUCCCGGGGCUCAACCCCGGAACUGCCUUUGAUACUGGUAGUCUUGAGUUCGAGAGAGGUGAGUGGAAUUCCGAGUGGAGAGGUGAAAUUCGUAGAUAUUCGGAGGAACACCAGUGGCGAAGGCGGCUCACUGGCUCGAUACUGACGCUGAGGUGCGAAAGCGUGGGGAGCAAACAGGAUUAGAUACCCCUGUAGUCCCA
RNAcentral lists this ribosomal RNA (447 nucleotides) under uncultured organism. RNAcentral's name for it is "partial 16S ribosomal RNA". It matches the Rfam family "Bacterial small subunit ribosomal RNA", at positions 334 to 797 of the family's 1533-position model. The record is from RNAcentral.